Molecule: non-coding RNA, 225 nt
Organism: Pelobates cultripes (western spadefoot toad)
Lineage: Eukaryota; Metazoa; Chordata; Amphibia; Anura; Pelobatidae
Source: the annotation of a GenBank genome assembly
GCUCUCUUCUCAGGGAUAAGCUGCAGUUCACCAACAAGGUGUUCCUCUACCUUGUGAUAAAUGGACAGAUAAAAUAGAAAGGUGAACAGCGCUAAAAAUCAGAAAAUGUACAUACGUUUUGUAGAAAUACUGGCCAGCAGAGUAGCUUAAAAAAAGAGAGAAACAAAAAUACAAAUAAUGGUACAGUAUGUAUGAACGAUAUAAUUCCACAAGAACAAAGAUGUU